Molecule: transfer RNA, 73 nt
Filed under: Taenia asiatica
Lineage: Eukaryota; Metazoa; Platyhelminthes; Cestoda; Cyclophyllidea; Taeniidae
Rfam family: tRNA
About the family: Transfer RNA (tRNA) molecules are approximately 80 nucleotides in length. Their secondary structure includes four short double-helical elements and three loops (D, anti-codon, and T loops).
Source: Rfam by way of RNAcentral
GUCCGUGCAGCCUAAUGGACAGGGCAUCUGCCUUCCAAGCAGAAAUGUGCGGGUUCGAGUCCUGUCAUGGAUG